Non-coding RNA from Manacus vitellinus (golden-collared manakin), 72 nucleotides. NCBI's taxonomy places the organism in Eukaryota, Metazoa, Chordata, Aves, Passeriformes, Pipridae. The record is from Rfam.
CCCCUGGUGGUCUAGUGGUUAGGUUGCAGCACUCUCACCACUGCGACCCGGGUUCAAUUCCCAGUCAGGGAA